This 449-nucleotide ribosomal RNA is filed under the name uncultured bacterium. RNAcentral's name for it is "partial 16S ribosomal RNA". It matches the Rfam family "Bacterial small subunit ribosomal RNA", at positions 29 to 523 of the family's 1533-position model. The record is from RNAcentral.
AACGAACGCUGGCGGCAGGCUUAAUACAUGCAAGUCGAGCGGGCACUUCGGUGUCAGCGGCGCACGGGUGCGUAACGCGUGGGAACAUGCCCUUAGGUACGGAACAACACAGGGAAACUUGUGCUAAUACCGUAUAAUAUCUCCGGAUCAAAGAUCUAUCGCCUAAGGAUUGGCCCGCGUUAGAUUAGGUAGUUGGUGGGGUAAUGGCCUACCAAGCCGACGAUCUAUAGCUGGUCUGAGAGGAUGAUCAGCCACACUGGAACUGAGACACGGUCCAGACUCCUAAGGGAGGCAGCAGUAAGGAAUAUUGGACAGUGGGCGAAAGCCUGAUCCAGCCAUGCCGCGUGAGUGAUGAAGGCCUUAGGGUUGUAAAGCUCUUUUAGAUGGGAAGAUAAUGACUGUACCAUCAGAAUAAGCCCCGGCUAAAUUCGUGCCAGCCGCCGCAGUAA